This 260-nucleotide small RNA is filed under the name Arabidopsis thaliana (thale cress). RNAcentral's name for it is "ATSL159070". The record is from RNAcentral. Lineage: Eukaryota; Viridiplantae; Streptophyta; Magnoliopsida; Brassicales; Brassicaceae.
UCUUUUCCAAGAUCUUUCAUUUCAAACUCUUCUUUCAUAUGAGUUCGUGCAUCAUCAAUCUCCUUUGGAGUUCCAAUUAUAUUUAGGUCAUCAACAUAAACAACAAUGAUCACAAAUCCCGAAGGGGAUUUCAUAAUGAAGACGCAAAGGCAGAUUUCAUUAUUCACAUACCCUUUCUUAAGUAGAUAAUCGCUUAAACGAUUAUACCACAUGCGUCCGGAUUGUUUCAAUCCGUAAAGUGAUCGUUGUAAUUUGACCAU